AUACGUAGGAGACAAGCGUUGUCCGGAAUCACUGGGCGUAAAGGGCGCGUAGGCGGUUUUAUAAGUCAGAUGUGAAAUGUACCGGCUCGACCGGGGACGUGCCUUUGAAACUGUAAGACUUGAGUACUGGAGAGGCAAGUGGAAUUCCUCGUGUAGCGGUGGAAUGCGUAGAUAUUAGGAGGAACACCGGUGGCGAAGGCGGCUUGCUGGACAGAUACUGGCGCUGAGGUGCGAAAGCGUGGGGAGCGAACAGGAUUAGAUACCCUGGUAGUCCACGCCGUAAACGAUGAUGGCUAGGUGUUGGGGAAACUCAGUGCCGCAGUUAACACAUUAAGUUAUCCGCCUGGGGAGUACGACCGCAAGGUUGAAACUCAAAUGAAUUGACGGGG
This 389-nucleotide ribosomal RNA is filed under the name uncultured bacterium. Its description in RNAcentral is "partial 16S ribosomal RNA". It matches the Rfam family "Bacterial small subunit ribosomal RNA", at positions 523 to 918 of the family's 1533-position model. The record is from RNAcentral.